Molecule: long non-coding RNA, 474 nt
Filed under: Homo sapiens (human)
Lineage: Eukaryota; Metazoa; Chordata; Mammalia; Primates; Hominidae
Description: non-protein coding lnc-SPATA6-3:1
Source: RNAcentral
AUGACGCAGACAAAGGGAAAGAGGAGAGGCACCUGAUACAUAUUCUCAAAUCCGUUUAGAAAGCAUGGAGUUGUUUCUUUGGCCACAUACAUGUGAAUCUACAAGAAAGGCGCUAUUCUAGACAUCAAGGGAAUGGGCACUGUUCAAAAAGGAAUGCCCCAUAAAUGUCACCAUGGCUAAACUGGAAGAGUCUACAGUGUCACCAGGCAUGCUGUUGGCAUAUUGCAAACAAACAAGUUAAGGGCAAGAUUGUCGCCAAGAGAACAAAUGUGCAUAUUGAGCAUAUUAAGCGCUCUGAGAGCCAAGGUAGCUUCCUGAAAUGCAUGAAGGAAAGGAUCAGAAAAAGAAUGAAACCAAAGAGAAAGUCACCUAGGUUCAACUGAAGUGCCAGCCUGCUCCACCCAGAGAGGCACACUUUGUGACAAUCAGUGAAAAGGAGCCUGAGCUGCUGGAACCUCUUCCUUAUGAUUCAUG